Non-coding RNA from Geopyxis carbonaria, 72 nucleotides. The record is from the annotation of a GenBank genome assembly. NCBI's taxonomy places the organism in Eukaryota, Fungi, Ascomycota, Pezizomycetes, Pezizales, Tarzettaceae.
GGCCGCGUGGCCCAAUGGUAGGGCGUUGGUUUUCGGCACCAAAGAUUGCGCGUUCGAGUCGCGUCGUGGUCG